Molecule: ribosomal RNA, 668 nt
Filed under: Hydrogenovibrio thermophilus
Lineage: Bacteria; Pseudomonadati; Pseudomonadota; Gammaproteobacteria; Thiotrichales; Piscirickettsiaceae
Description: bacterial SSU rRNA
Rfam family: Bacterial small subunit ribosomal RNA
Source: RNAcentral
CAAACUCUUCGGAGGGCGAUCUUGGGCGUCGAGUGGCGGACGGGUGAGUAACGCGUGGGAAUCUACCCUUUAGUUGGGGACAACAUAUGGAAACGUAUGCUAAUACCGAAUAUGCUCUACGGAGUAAAGGUGGCCUCUACUUGUAAGCUAUCGCUAAAGGAUGAGCCCGCGUUAGAUUAGCUAGUUGGUGGGGUAAAGGCCUACCAAGGCGACGAUCUAUAGCUGGUUUGAGAGGAUGAUCAGCCACACUGGGACUGAGACACGGCCCAGACUCCUACGGGAGGCAGCAGUGGGGAAUAUUGCACAAUGAGGGAAACCUUGAUGCAGCCAUGCCGCGUGUGUGAAGAAGGCCCGAGGGUUGUAAAGCACUUUCAAUUGUGAGGAAAGGUUAGUCGCUAAUAUCGGCUAGCUGUGACGUUAACUUUAGAAGAAGCACCGGCUAACUCUGUGCCAGCAGCCGCGGUAAUACAGAGGGUGCAAGCGUUAUUCGGAAUUACUGGGCGUAAAGCGCGCGUAGGCGGACUGUUAAGUCGGUUGUGAAAGCCCUGGGCUCAACCUAGGAAUUGCAUCCGAUACUGGCAAUCUAGAGUUUAGGAGAGGGAAGUGGAAUUCCUGGUGUAGCAGUGAAAUGCGUAGAUAUCAGGAGGAACAUCAGUGGCGAAGGCGAC